GUGUGAAUGUGUGUGGAUGUGAGUGUGUGUGUGUGAGAGAGAGGGUGUGUGUGUGAGUGACUGAGUAUGAGAGAGAGAGAAAGUGUGUGUGUGCAUACGGUUAUGAGCGUGUGUACAUAUGUAUGCAUGCAUGUGUGUGCGCGCGUGAGAGUGCACUGGUGAAUGUGUUUGUUCGUGUGUGCGAGAGAUUGUGUGUGUUCAUGUGUGUGUGUGCAUGUGUGUGAUUGGGUGUGUGAGUGAUUGGGUGUGAGAGGGUGUGUAUGUGUGUGUAAGAGUGUGAGUGUGUGUGCACGAGUGUGUGCGUGCGUAGGUGUGUGAGUGCGUG
This is a long non-coding RNA of Anguilla rostrata (American eel), 325 nucleotides long. RefSeq lists it as uncharacterized. The transcript has 2 exons. The record is from RefSeq and is a predicted model, not a curated record. NCBI's taxonomy places the organism in Eukaryota, Metazoa, Chordata, Actinopteri, Anguilliformes, Anguillidae.